GACGAACGCUGGCGGCGUGCCUAAUACAUGCAAGUCGAGCGAACAGACGAGGAGCUUGCUCCUCUGACGUUAGCGGCGGACGGGUGAGUAACACGUGGAUAACCUACCUAUAAGACUGGGAUAACUUCGGGAAACCGGAGCUAAUACCGGAUAAUAUAUUGAACCGCAUGGUUCAAUAGUGAAAGACGGUUUUGCUGUCACUUAUAGACGGAUCCGCGCCGCAUUAGCUAGUUGGUAAGGUAACGGCUUACCAAGGCAACGAUGCGUAGCCGACCUGAGAGGGUGAUCGGCCACACUGGAGCUGAGACACGGUCCAGACUCCUACGGGAGGCAGCAGUAGGGAAUCUUCCGCAAUGGGCGAAAGCCUGACGGAACAACGCCGCGUGAGUGAUGAAGGUCUUCGGAUCGUAAAGCUCUGUUAUUAGGGAAGAACAAAUGUGUAAGUAGCUGUGCACGUCUUGACGGUACCUGAUCAGGAAGCCACGGCUAACUACGUG
Molecule: ribosomal RNA, 497 nt
Filed under: uncultured bacterium
Lineage: Bacteria
Description: partial 16S ribosomal RNA
Rfam family: Bacterial small subunit ribosomal RNA
Source: RNAcentral